GAUGAAGAACGCAGCGAAAUGCGAUAAGUAAUGUGAAUUGCAGAAUUCAGUGAAUCAUCGAAUCUUUGAACGCACAUUGCGCCCGCCAGUAUUCUGGCGGGCAUGCCUGUCCGAGCGUCAUUUCAACCCUCGAACCCCUCCGGGGGGUCGGCGUUGGGGAUCGGGAACCCCUAAGACGGGAUCCCGGCCCCGAAAUACAGUGGCGGUCUCGCCGCAGCCUCUCCUGCGCAGUAGUUUGCACAACUCGCACCGGGAGCGCGGCGCGUCCACGUCCGUAAAACACCCAACUUUCUGAAAUGUUGACCUCGGAUCAGGUAGGAAUACCCGCUGAACUUAAGCAUAGCAAUAAGCGGAGGA
Molecule: unclassified non-coding RNA, 357 nt
Filed under: soil metagenome
Description: partial contains 5.8S ribosomal RNA, internal transcribed spacer 2, and large subunit ribosomal RNA
Rfam family: 5.8S ribosomal RNA (bases 1-120)
Source: RNAcentral